AGAUUGAACGCUGGCGGCAGGCCUAACACAUGCAAGUCGAGCGGCAGCACGGGUACUUGUACCUGGUGGCGAGCGGCGGACGGGUGAGUAAUGCCUAGGAAUCUGCCUGGUAGUGGGGGAUAACGCUCGGAAACGGACGCUAAUACCGCAUACGUCCUACGGGAGAAAGCAGGGGACCUUCGGGCCUUGCGCUAUCAGAUGAGCCUAGGUCGGAUUAGCUAGUUGGUGGGGUAAUGGCUCACCAAGGCGACGAUCCGUAACUGGUCUGAGAGGAUGAUCAGUCACACUGGAACUGAGACACGGUCCAGACUCCUACGGGAGGCAGCAGUGGGAAUAGUUGGACAAUGGGCGAAAGCCUGAUCCAGCCAUGCCGCGUGUGUGAAGAAGGUCUUCGGAUUGUAAAGCUAACGUUUAAGUUGGGAAGAAGGCAGUUUAACCUAAGUAACGUAUCUUGUUUUCGACGUUUAACCGACAAGUAAACUAAAGCCAACCCGGUACUAAACCGUUCGUGUUA
RNAcentral lists this ribosomal RNA (514 nucleotides) under uncultured soil bacterium. Its description in RNAcentral is "bacterial SSU rRNA". It matches the Rfam family "Bacterial small subunit ribosomal RNA", at positions 26 to 525 of the family's 1533-position model. The record is from RNAcentral.